UACGUAGGUGGCGAGCGUUGUCCGAAUUUACUGGGCGUAAAGGGCACGCAGGCGGUUCGUUAAGUUCGAGGUGAAAGCUCCCGGCCCAACUGGGAGAGGUCCCCGGAUACUGGCGGACUUGAGGGAGGCAGAGGAAAGUGGAAUUCCCGGUGUAGUGAUGAUAUGCGUAGAUAUCGGGAGGAACACCAGUGGCGAAGGCGGCUUUCUGGGCCUUACCUGACGCUGAGGCGCGAAAGCGUGGGGAGCGAACCGG
RNAcentral lists this ribosomal RNA (253 nucleotides) under uncultured bacterium. RNAcentral's name for it is "partial 16S ribosomal RNA". It matches the Rfam family "Bacterial small subunit ribosomal RNA", at positions 524 to 776 of the family's 1533-position model. The record is from RNAcentral.